UUUGGCCUACGGGGCGCAGCAGUGGGGAAUAUUGGGCAAUGGGCGCAAGCCUGACCCAGCAACGCCGCGUGAAGGAAGAAGGCUUUCGGGUUGUAAACUUCUUUUCUCAGGGACGAAGCAAGUGACGGUACCUGAGGAAUAAGCCACGGCUAACUACGUGCCAGCAGCCGCGGUAAUACGUAGGUGGCAAGCGUUAUCCGGAUUUACUGGGUGUAAAGGGCGGGUAGGCGGGAAAGCAAGGCAGAUGUGAAAACCACGGG
This 260-nucleotide ribosomal RNA is filed under the name uncultured bacterium. RNAcentral's name for it is "partial 16S ribosomal RNA". It matches the Rfam family "Bacterial small subunit ribosomal RNA", at positions 333 to 607 of the family's 1533-position model. The record is from RNAcentral.